This 370-nucleotide ribosomal RNA is filed under the name Craniella cranium. Its description in RNAcentral is "partial large subunit ribosomal RNA". It matches the Rfam family "Eukaryotic large subunit ribosomal RNA", at positions 42 to 404 of the family's 3401-position model. Lineage: Eukaryota; Metazoa; Porifera; Demospongiae; Tetractinellida; Tetillidae. The record is from RNAcentral.
AUCAAUAAGCGGAGGAAGAGCAACUAACCAGGAUUCCCCCAGUAACGGCGAGCGAAGCGGGAAGAGUUCGAGCAGUGAAUCUCUGGCGCUCCGUCGCCAGCGAAUUGUGGCCGGUAGAGGCAACUGCACCCGAGGCGCCGCCGCCCAAGUUGACCUGGAAAGGCACGUCGGAGAGGGUGAUAGCCCCGUGCGGGGCGGGGGCGCCGAGGGCCGCUACUGUCUUCCGAGAGUCGGGUUGUUUGAGAUUGCAGCCCAAAGUGGGUGGUAAACUCCAUCUAAAGCCGAACACGGGCACGAGACCGAUAGCGAACAAGUACCGUGAGGGAAAGGUGAAAAGCACUUUGGAAAGAGAGUUAAAGAGACCGCGAAA